This 403-nucleotide long non-coding RNA is filed under the name Homo sapiens (human). RNAcentral's name for it is "HSALNT0148671". The record is from RNAcentral. Lineage: Eukaryota; Metazoa; Chordata; Mammalia; Primates; Hominidae.
AGCCAGUUGUGGUGGCCUGUGCCUGUAAUCCCAGCUACUCGGGAGGCUGAGAUAAGAGAACUGCUUGAACCCAGGAGGUGGAGAGUGCAGUGAGCUGAGAUCGUGCCACUGUACUCCAGCCUGGGCAACAGAGCCAAGACUCCAUCUAAAAAAAAAAAAAAAUUAUUGAGCCCCACCUGCAUACAUCUGUGGUAGAGAUUAAGAACAUACAGUUUUUUGGUUUUUUUUGAGAUGGAGUUUCGCUCUUGUCGCCUAGGAUAGAGUGCAAUGGCACGAUCUCGGUUCACUGCAACCUCGGCCUCCCAGGUUCAAGCAAUUCUCCUUCCUCAGCCUCCCGAGUAGUUGGGAUUACCGGCACCAGCUACUACACCCGGCUAAUUUUUGUAUUUUGAGUACAGACGGG